GAAUUUUGGACAAUGGGGGCAACCCUGAUCCAGCCAUCCCGCGUGUGCGAUGAAGGCCUUCGGGUUGUAAAGCACUUUUGGCAGGGAAGAAAAGGCUCUGGCUAAUACCUGGAGCUGCUGACGGUACCUGCAGAAUAAGCCCCGCUUCGCUACGUCCCCGCAGCCGCGGUAAUACGUAGGGUGGAAGCGUUAAUCGGAAUUACUGGGCGUAAAGCGUGCGCAGGCGGUUCGGCAAGAAGGAUGUGAAAUCCCAGGGCUUAACCGAGGAACUGCAUUCUUAACUGCCGGGCUAGAGUAUGUCAGAGGGGGGUAGAAUUCCGCGUGUAGCAGUGAAAUGCGUAGAGAUGCGGAGGAAUACCGAUGGCGAAGGCAGCCCCCUGGGAUAAUACUGACGCUCAUGCACGAAAGCGUGGGGAGCAAAC
This 422-nucleotide ribosomal RNA is filed under the name uncultured bacterium. Its description in RNAcentral is "bacterial SSU rRNA". It matches the Rfam family "Bacterial small subunit ribosomal RNA", at positions 359 to 773 of the family's 1533-position model. The record is from RNAcentral.